CUGAAGCAAGAACUUAAGGUCAAGGACCAUUAGAACUAUUUGUGCAAAAACAAUCUUAUGUUCAGAGAAAAAUACGGAAAAUCAUCAGAAAAAGAAACAACAUCAGCUGGACUGAUAUAAAAUUGUAUAAGAAUUGGAGGAAAUGGCAUGCCUUGGAUCAUGGCAGCCUGCCCAGGAUUGUCUCUUUGGAAUUGUGUGGGUAGAAAGCCUAGUAAACAAAGGCAAAGAACCGAUGAUGUGACAGAAUGGACUAUAAAUGGAUGCCUAUGAUUUCUGCAAAUCAGAGUAGUUUUUUGAUCCAGAGUCCCGUGGAGAUAGAUGUGGUUUUCGCUGGCUCCCAGCAUCUUAUGAUUUUAUCCUGAUGGAAGGAAUCUUGACUGGCCAUCGGGACCAUUCUGACCUUUGGACUCUGGUAUAAUCUCUGAAGGCCUCAACUCUGCAAGCCCCUAGGCUUGAAACAAUGCCAUCAGAGCACACAUGCUUCCAGAUUGAAUUCAAUGUUUCUAAAUAAGGUAUAAUAGAAAAAAACAACUUGAAUAAUUACUACAUCUGGCUUUCAUAUUAUGGAAGUGUACUCAUCUCUUCAAAAUACUUAGCAGUUUUUGCUUCAGCUUUUGCAGUGUGAGACAAAAGGAAAUUUCAUUGCAUCAACAGUUGAAGUGAGUUUUAAAGUGUAUAAAAAGAUAUCUCAGAGGGAGGUUCUUUGGCCAGCCAAGUGGGGAAUGGAAAGUCCUGCCAUACACUGAGCUCAAAUUUUUCAUCUCUCUCUGAACUCCAGGCUUGGAGCUGUGAGGCUGACCCUGCACCUGUCUAUGGAACUGCAGAUGGCUGAUGUAACACAGGCUAUUGCCUUCAAAACAGGAAGGAGGAGGAGAACCAGAUUGCUUGUGUGAGAUGAACGCACAUUUCCAAAAUGCUAAUUAUUUGUUCCCUAAAAUAUUACAGACAUCUUGUGCAUUUACAAUUGGGAUUCAUCUUCAUGCAUCAUUAAAAGCCUAAUUUGUACCUUUGGAGAAGGAGAAAAGUCUGUUCAGAAAUUACAAAAUUUUUAGCUAUAUGCCAAACAACUCUCAUAUUAUUUAUUAAUGUAUUUUAUUUCUUCUUCUAGUGAAUUAAAGGAAUCAGAAGCAGAAACAAAUAUAGUACUCAUAGUGACUUCAAGUAUAGAUUUCAAUAAUCUAAAUGAAGCAUCAUCACACAGGAAAAGUAUAAAUCAAAUAUAUUCAUCAUCCUUGUCUUUUUAAAAAAAAAAAAUCAGUGAAUGUAGUAGCUAAAGGAAUUGUCAAUGUCCUUUGCAGUUAACAAGAGACAUCAGAAUAUAUAAUUAACUACAAUGGUCUAUUAAAGCAGUAGAAAUAGAACAAAAUUGGUACCUUUCUGAAAAUAUAAAAUAGCACAGCAGUAUUAGAACUUUCAAACAAAAUAACAGUUGAUUUUAAGGAUAAACUGGAAAAAGUAUACCAAAUUGUAAAAAAUAAUUUAUUUUAAUAUUGAAAAUGAGGCAUGUUUUAUCUGAUACCAAAAAUACACCUUAAUCUAACAUUGUCCACCAAGCAAAUAUAUGAACAAAAUAACUUAAAAAUUAAACAUAGAAACUAUUGUACAAAAAAGAGCUUUAUAUUUAUGAAGUAUAGUAUUUGAGGCCUGUUAUCAGUAUUCUAUUAAUAAAUGGAAGCCCCUUCC
Molecule: long non-coding RNA, 1683 nt
Organism: Dermochelys coriacea (leatherback sea turtle)
Lineage: Eukaryota; Metazoa; Chordata; Testudines; Dermochelyidae
Exons: 5
Source: RefSeq, a predicted model, not a curated record